AGCGAACGUUAGCGGCGCGCCUAACACAUGCAAGUCGCACGAGAAACGGAGCAAUCCGCGGUACAGUGGCGCACGGGUGAGUAACACGUGGAUGACCUUCCCUGGAGUGGUGGAUAACCUGCCGAAAGGCGGGUUAAUACAGCAUGGGACCACGACGCUUUGGCGAUGUGGUGAAAGCGGGCCUCUAUAUAUAAGCUCGCGCUCCGGGACGGGUCCGCGUCCCAUCAGCUAGUUGGUGAGGUAACGGCUCACCAAGGCAACGACGGGUAGCUGGUCUGAGAGGAUGGCCAGCCACACUGGAACUGAGACACGGUCCAGACUCCUACGGGAGGCAGCAGUGGGGAAUCUUGCGCAAUGGGCGAAAGCCUGACGCAGCGACGCCGCGUGGGCGAAGAAGGCCUCGG
This 404-nucleotide ribosomal RNA is filed under the name uncultured bacterium. RNAcentral describes it as "bacterial SSU rRNA". It matches the Rfam family "Bacterial small subunit ribosomal RNA", at positions 30 to 420 of the family's 1533-position model. The record is from RNAcentral.